AUGCUGCUUUGUUCCUUUUUUUAUGCAUCUUAUUUUGGCUGUUUUGGUGUAUCUUUUUGGAUAGUAUAUGCAGUGGAUAACACUAUGCAGUUUUUGUGUAUAGUUUGUAGCAGGUCUUUGGACAACAGGUGCCGGUUUUGGCACGUUGUACAGUUUGGACAGAAACUUGUUUAUAUGGAUUAUUUUGUAGCAGGUUUGGAUAAAAAAGGGGCAGCAAGACUGUUUUGCAGCGGCUUUGGGCUUAGCUGUAACAGAUUUUUCCUUUGA
This is a non-coding RNA of Vicia faba (fava bean), 267 nucleotides long. The record is from the annotation of a GenBank genome assembly. NCBI's taxonomy places the organism in Eukaryota, Viridiplantae, Streptophyta, Magnoliopsida, Fabales, Fabaceae.